AUUGAACGCUGGCGGCAGGCCUAACACAUGCAAGUCGAGCGGAUGAAGGGAGCUUGCUCCUGGAUUCAGCGGCGGACGGGUGAGUAAUGCCUAGGAAUCUGACUGGUAGUGGGGGAUAACGUCCGGAAACGGGCGCUAAUACCGCAUACGUCCUGAGGGAGAAAGUGGGGGAUCUUCGGACCUCACGCUAUCAGAUGAGCCUAGGUCGGAUUAGCUAGUCGGUGGGGUAAAGGCCUACCAAGGCGACGAUCCGUAACUGGUCUGAGAGGAUGAUCAGUCACACUGGAACUGAGACACGGUCCAGACUCCUACGGGAGGCAGCAGUGGGGAAUAUUGGACAAUGGGCGAAAGCCUGAUCCAGCCAUGCCGCGUGUGUGAAGAAGGUCUUCGGAUUGUAAAGCACUUUAAGUUGGGAGGAAGGGCAGUAAGUUAAUACCUUGCUGUUUUGACGUUACCAACAGAAUAAGCACCGGCUAACUUCGUG
RNAcentral lists this ribosomal RNA (484 nucleotides) under uncultured bacterium. RNAcentral's name for it is "partial 16S ribosomal RNA". It matches the Rfam family "Bacterial small subunit ribosomal RNA", at positions 30 to 507 of the family's 1533-position model. The record is from RNAcentral.